CUUCCACUUCAAAUAAUUGAUAUUGUUGCAUUUCCUCUCCGCCUCUGUUGCGGACUUGGCCCUUCCCUUUAUUGACUCAUCUGAUUUCUUAUCAACUUUGAGGAUCUGGAACUUGCCCUCCGGCUUAUCUGAGGCCCUGAUGGUUAUUUAAGGUAUUAUCAAUACAUUGUGUUUUCUUCGCUUACUUCUGAAUUCUACAUGCUUUAUUAUUGGAUUGGAAAGCUUUCCCGUUUCAUCUUGCAUACACGCUAUUGCAGUACUUUUCAUAUUUUGCAGAAUAGAUGUUAGGGGGUGAGUUUUUUGCUUGAGCAGCCUGUUGUUUCUAGUUUCAGCCCUGAAGAGGCGCACCAACAGCAGCAGCAUCCUAGCUAAAUAUGCUGUUGCAGAGCACUGGAUGGAUGCACCUGUUGUUCUCCUUGGACAUUACUGCCUUAUCUUUUCCCCUAAAGAUAUGUGUUGCCACCAUUUUUCAUCUCUGGACUGGUUUAACUCUUGUGUUAUCCACACUGCAGAUAUACUACGUGUGAGGAGAACAGUAUCCUAGCAUAGUAAUCUUGAAGGCAAUUUCGAACUGUGCAAAGUGCAAAUAAACCCUGCUCCUUAAAGCACUCUGCUCUCUCCUUGUUUGAGACUUUCCCUGGAGGUUUGUGAUGCCCUCUGUAUAUAUGCCUGCAGCUUCAUAUGCUGGUAUAGAUCUGUACUGAAGAUGGCUAACCCAGUGGCAGGGAGCGAAAUCUGGUAGGCGAAUUUCUUCCGCCACUCCCUCUCCAUUUGGAAGCAAUGGCGAAAUGGUUCUGAACUU
Long non-coding RNA from Hordeum vulgare subsp. vulgare (domesticated barley), 802 nucleotides. RefSeq lists it as uncharacterized. NCBI's taxonomy places the organism in Eukaryota, Viridiplantae, Streptophyta, Magnoliopsida, Poales, Poaceae. The transcript has 3 exons. The record is from RefSeq and is a predicted model, not a curated record.